Molecule: ribosomal RNA, 468 nt
Filed under: uncultured bacterium
Lineage: Bacteria
Description: partial 16S ribosomal RNA
Rfam family: Bacterial small subunit ribosomal RNA
Source: RNAcentral
GACGAACGCUGGCGGCGUGCUUAACACAUGCAAGUCGAACGGAAAGGCCCUGCUUUUGUGGGGUGCUCGAGUGGCGAACGGGUGAGUAACACGUGAGUAACCUGCCCUUGACUUUGGGAUAACUUCAGGAAACUGGGGCUAAUACCGGAUAGGAGCUCCUGCUGCAUGGUGGGGGUUGGAAAGUUUCGGCGGUUGGGGAUGGACUCGCGGCUUAUCAGCUUGUUGGUGGGGUAGUGGCUUACCAAGGCUUUGACGGGUAGCCGGCCUGAGAGGGUGACCGGCCACAUUGGGACUGAGAUACGGCCCAGACUCCUACGGGAGGCAGCAGUGGGGAAUAUUGCACAAUGGGCGGAAGCCUGAUGCAGCAACGCCGCGUGCGGGAUGACGGCCUUCGGGUUGUAAACCGCUUUCGCCUGUGACGAAGCGUGAGUGACGGUAGUGGGUAAAGAAGCACCGGCUAACUACGUA